This 85-nucleotide transfer RNA is filed under the name Acidobacteriota bacterium. RNAcentral's name for it is "Acidobacteria bacterium (rhizosphere metagenome) tRNA-Leu". It matches the Rfam family "tRNA". From Rfam's summary of the family: Transfer RNA (tRNA) molecules are approximately 80 nucleotides in length. Their secondary structure includes four short double-helical elements and three loops (D, anti-codon, and T loops). Lineage: Bacteria; Pseudomonadati; Acidobacteriota. RNAcentral also lists the same sequence under 5 other names. The record is from RNAcentral.
GCCCAAGUGGCGGAAUUGGUAGACGCGCACGUUUGAGGGGCGUGUGGAGAAAUCCGUGCCGGUUCGAGUCCGGCCUUGGGCACCA